RNAcentral lists this transfer RNA (64 nucleotides) under Neoneuromus maculatus. Its description in RNAcentral is "Neoneuromus sp. 1 FY-2017 tRNA-His". It matches the Rfam family "tRNA". From Rfam's summary of the family: Transfer RNA (tRNA) molecules are approximately 80 nucleotides in length. Their secondary structure includes four short double-helical elements and three loops (D, anti-codon, and T loops). The record is from RNAcentral. Lineage: Eukaryota; Metazoa; Arthropoda; Insecta; Megaloptera; Corydalidae.
GUUUAAAUAGUUUAAUAAAAAUUUUGAUUUGUGGAGUCAAAGAUGUAGGUUUUUACUUUAGACC